RNAcentral lists this ribosomal RNA (694 nucleotides) under uncultured organism. RNAcentral's name for it is "bacterial SSU rRNA". It matches the Rfam family "Bacterial small subunit ribosomal RNA", at positions 74 to 761 of the family's 1533-position model. The record is from RNAcentral.
UGUAGCUUGCUACAGAUGGCGACCGGCGCACGGGUGAGUAACGCGUAUGCAACCUGCCUUUUACAGGGGGAUAGCCGAGAGAAAUUUGGAUUAAUACCCCAUAGUAUCAAUUUACCGCAUGGUAAUUUGAUUAAAGAUUUAUCGGUAAAAGAUGGGCAUGCGUGGCAUUAGCUUGUUGGUAAGGUAACGGCUUACCAAGGCGACGAUGCCUAGGGGUUCUGAGAGGAUGACCCCCCACACUGGUACUGAGACACGGACCAGACUCCUACGGGAGGCAGCAGUGAGGAAUAUUGGUCAAUGGGCGAGAGCCUGAACCAGCCAUCCCGCGUGAAGGAAGACUGCCCUAUGGGUUGUAAACUUCUUUUCUGCACCAAGAACGUGCCCUACGUGUAGGGCAGUGACGGUAGUGCAGGAAUAAGCAUCGGCUAACUCCGUGCCAGCAGCCGCGGUAAUACGGAGGAUGCGAGCGUUAUCCGGAUUCAUUGGGUUUAAAGGGUGCGUAAGGCGGCUUCUUAAGUCAGUGGUGAAAUCCUGCGGCUCAACCGUAGAACUGCCAUUGAAAACUGGGGGGCUUGAAUACCGAUGAAGUAGGCGGAAUGAGUAGUGUAGCGGUGAAAUGCAUAGAUAUUACUCAGAACACCGAUUGCGUAAGGCAGCUUUACUAAACUGAUAUUGACGCUGAGGCACGAAAGCG